Molecule: ribosomal RNA, 459 nt
Filed under: uncultured bacterium
Lineage: Bacteria
Description: partial 16S ribosomal RNA
Rfam family: Bacterial small subunit ribosomal RNA
Source: RNAcentral
CCUACGGGAGGCAGCAGUGAGGAAUAUUGGUCAAUGGGCGGGAGCCUGAACCAGCCAAGCCGCGUGAGGGAAGAAGGUACAGCGUAUCGUAAACCUCUUUUGUCAGGGAACAAAGGCGGGGACUAGUCCCCGGAUGAGGGUACCUGAAGAAAAAGCAUCGGCUAACUCCGUGCCAGCAGCCGCGGUAAUACGGAGGAUGCGAGCGUUAUCCGGAUUGAUUGGGUUUAAAGGGUGCGCAGGCGGCCUGUUAAGUCAGCGGUAAAAGCCCGGGGCUCAACCCCGGCGAGCCGUUGAAACUGGCGGGCUGGAGUGGGAGAGAGGUACGCGGAAUGCGGGGUGGAGCGGGGAAAGGCUUAGAUAGCGCGCAGAACCACGAUUGCGAGGGCAGCGUACCGGCUCCACACUGACGCUGAGGAACGAAAGCGUGGGUAUCGAACAGGAGUAGAUACCCGGGUAGUC